GCUCUCUGGGUGGCGAGUGGCGGACGGGUGAGGAAUACAUCGGAAUCUACUCUGUCGUGGGGGAUAACGUAGGGAAACUUACGCUAAUACCGCAUACGACCUACGGGUGAAAGCAGGGGAUCUUCGGACCUUGCGCGAUUGAAUGAGCCGAUGUCGGAUUAGCUAGUUGGCGGGGUAAAGGCCCACCAAGGCGACGAUCCGUAGCUGGUCUGAGAGGAUGAUCAGCCACACUGGAACUGAGACACGGUCCAGACUCCUACGGGAGGCAGCAGUGGGGAAUAUUGGACAAUGGGCGCAAGCCUGAUCCAGCCAUACCGCGUGGGUGAAGAAGGCCUUCGGGUUGUAAAGCCCUUUUGUUGGGAAAGAAAUCCAGCUGGCUAAUACCUGGUUGGGAUGACGGUACCCAAAGAAUAAGCACCGGCUAACUUCGUGCCAGCAGCCGCGGUAAUACGAAGGGUGCAAGCGUUACUCGGAAUUACUGGGCGUAAAGCGUGCGUAGGUGGUCGUUUAAGUCCGUUGUGAAAGCCCUGGGCUCAACCUGGGAACUGCAGUGGAUACUGGGCGACUAGAGUGUGGUAGAGGGUAGCGGAAUUCCUGGUGUAGCAGUGAAAUGCGUAGAGAUCAGGAGGAACAUCCAUGGCGAAAGGCAGCUACCUGGACCAACACUGACACUGAGGCACGAAAGCGUGGGGAGCAAACAGGA
RNAcentral lists this ribosomal RNA (703 nucleotides) under Stenotrophomonas sp. ESA 0008. RNAcentral's name for it is "bacterial SSU rRNA". It matches the Rfam family "Bacterial small subunit ribosomal RNA", at positions 78 to 777 of the family's 1533-position model. The record is from RNAcentral. Lineage: Bacteria; Pseudomonadati; Pseudomonadota; Gammaproteobacteria; Lysobacterales; Lysobacteraceae.